This 69-nucleotide transfer RNA is filed under the name Actinomycetes bacterium. RNAcentral's name for it is "Actinobacteria bacterium tRNA-Glu". Lineage: Bacteria; Bacillati; Actinomycetota; Actinomycetes. The record is from RNAcentral.
GCGCACGUCCCUGGCACGCCGGUCGCGCUUUCAAGCCGCAGGCCGCGGGUUCGAUUCCCGCCGGGCGCA